GUCCACGCCGUAAACGAUGUGUACUAGAUAUUGGAGAUAUUGACUCUUCAGUGUCGUAGCUAACGCAAUAAGUACACCGCCUGGGAAGUACGGUCGCAAGACUAAAACUCAAAGGAAUUGACGGGGGCCCGCACAAGCGGUGGAUUAUGUGGUUUAAUUCGAAGCAACGCGCAGAACCUUACCUAGGCUUGAAAUCCCGAGAAGAUCGACCAAAAUUGAUUGUGCUCUUCGGAGAACUCGGUGACAGGCGCUGCAUGGCU
RNAcentral lists this ribosomal RNA (260 nucleotides) under uncultured bacterium. RNAcentral describes it as "partial 16S ribosomal RNA". It matches the Rfam family "Bacterial small subunit ribosomal RNA", at positions 793 to 1050 of the family's 1533-position model. The record is from RNAcentral.